Molecule: ribosomal RNA, 375 nt
Filed under: Triticum aestivum (bread wheat)
Lineage: Eukaryota; Viridiplantae; Streptophyta; Magnoliopsida; Poales; Poaceae
Description: partial small subunit ribosomal RNA
Source: RNAcentral
AUGAUCAAACCUGGCUCUGUUCAACAGUGUCCGGUAUGCACUUCUUGGCUUCUCUCUGUUUCUAUAUCUGUUUUUUUUGUUGUUUCAAUUCAGAUCAAACCAAUAGCCUUUGCAUACAAGUUGGAGAGGUUAUUUCUCGCGUGGAGGUCUUUUCCCUUAAGGCACUACAUUUUUUCAGUGCCCCAAGCACUUUCCUCAUGUUUGCGGGUUGUGACCAGGAAAUUUUACACCACCGAGAUUAUGAUUAGGGCAGAGCAGCAUCCGGUGGCGAGGUUGGAAAAGAGAAGGAGAGAGAUCCGUGAUUGGGUAAUGACCCGCUGUGGUUGUGGCCAAGGAGCCAGCUCGGAUUUGUUUGCCGGUGCGUGUGUCGGUUGA